UGAGGAGUCUUAUGUAGACGAAACGCGCGUCUGGCGUACUUAAUUAUAAUCCUGGUACCUUUGAUAACUAAGUAUGCUUAUCAAUGGUAUGUCCUUGUAUCCGUAAAGGUUUCAGUUUAGGUAGCACUCCACAGUUAGAAAAUAAAAUUAAAAAUGAGCCACAAAAUGUUUUAUCAUCUCCUAUUUCUGGAUUUCUAAUACAUUAACCUAACUGUUUGUGUUGUACAUGGACAUAUGUAUGUAAUCAGUAUAUUCCAUAGAUUUGAUUUUCAAAAGCUAAAAGAGGGAAAAUUAAUUCCUUUUAUGUGUAUCCAUGGCAACAUUCUGCAUUUAUUUACCAUAAAAUAUUGCAAAAAGGGGGGUAGACAUGUCACAUAUCCC
This 381-nucleotide long non-coding RNA is filed under the name Mytilus galloprovincialis (Mediterranean mussel). Lineage: Eukaryota; Metazoa; Mollusca; Bivalvia; Mytilida; Mytilidae. The record is from RNAcentral.